Molecule: transfer RNA, 65 nt
Filed under: bovine gut metagenome
Rfam family: tRNA
About the family: Transfer RNA (tRNA) molecules are approximately 80 nucleotides in length. Their secondary structure includes four short double-helical elements and three loops (D, anti-codon, and T loops).
Source: RNAcentral
GGGUUUAGUUCAAUGGCAGAGCAACGGUCUCCAAAACCGUUAAUGGGAGUUCGAAUCUCUCAACC